UACGGGGGGGGCCAGCGUUGUUCGGAAUUACUGGGCGUAAAGGGCGCGUAGGCGGCUACCGAAGUCGGACGUGAAAUCCCUCGGCUCAACCGGGGAACUGCGUCUGAUACUGGGUGGCUCGAAUCCGGGAGAGGGAUGCGGAAUUCCAGGUGUAGCGGUGAAAUGCGUAGAUAUCUGGAGGAACACCGGUGGCGAAGGCGGCAUCCUGGACCGGUAUUGACGCUGAGGCGCGAAAGCCAGGGGAGCAAAC
This 250-nucleotide ribosomal RNA is filed under the name uncultured bacterium. RNAcentral's name for it is "partial 16S ribosomal RNA". It matches the Rfam family "Bacterial small subunit ribosomal RNA", at positions 524 to 773 of the family's 1533-position model. The record is from RNAcentral.